AAAAUCACGUUAAGGGUAUAUGGUGGAUGCCUCGACAUAAGAAGACGAUGAAGGACGUAGCAGCCUGCGAUAAGUCUCGGUGAGGUGGCAAGCAACCUGUGACCCGGGAAUCUCCGAAUGGGGAAACCUUUCCGCUUGAAGAGCGGAAGUCCGUUAUCUGAACACAUAAGAUAAUGAGACGAAUACCCGGUGAAUUGAAACAUCUUAGUAGCCGGAGGAAAAGAAAAAACUUCCUGCAGCAAUGCGGGAAAACAUUCCCUUAGUAGUGGCGAGCGAAAGGGGAGAAGUCUAAACCGUUUAAACUGCGCAUGGAAUUCUGAGCAAUCAGAAAGAAAUGCAGAAGGAUCUAGGUCCAUAUGUUUAGAUGGGGUUGUAAGAUCGUUGCAUUUAUUUCCUAGAUAAAUGAGGUAGGGCAUACGAAGAAUAACUUUCCUAGUUGAAGCGAGCUGGAAAGCUCCGCCAGAGAAGGUGAUAGCCCUGUAAGGCGAAAGGAGUUAUUACUCUACUGCAGCAUUCUUAAGUACUGCGGGACUCGUGAAAUCCCGUGGGAAUCUGGGUCGACUAUGAUCCAAGACUAAAUACUUCUUAUGAUCGAUAGCGAACAAGUACCGUGAGGGAAAGGUGAAAAGCAUCCCGGUUAGGGAGGUGAAAUAGUAUCUGAAACCAUAUACUUACAAGGAGUCGGAGCCCCACACCAUUUGGGGUUUAAUCAUAAGCUGAAGAUGAAAGCUUGUGCCAAAUGGUGUGGGGUGACGGCGUGCCUAUUGAAGAAUGAGCCAACGAGUUUGUUCUAUGUGGCUUAGCUAAAUUCCGCUUGGAAUGGAGCUACAGUGAAAGCGAGGGUUAAUAGCCCGUUUCCAUCUAUUUUGCAGGGACAAAAGCUUUCUGUUUCUGCAAAAUAUUUGGAUUGUCGCAUGGACAAGACCCGAAGCCGGGUGAUCUAAUCAUGGCCAGGUUGAAGUGGCGAGAAAUCGUCAUGGAGGACCGAACCCACUAGCCGUUCAACACUAGGGGAUGAGUUGUGAUUAGCGGAGAAAUUCCAAUCGAACUCGGCAAUAGCUGGUUCUCCUCGAAAUAGCUUUUGGGCUAGCGUCGGAUGCUGACUACUGGGGGUAGAGCACUGAAUGAGGUUGAGGCCGCAAGGUACUCUCCUUAACCAAACUCCGAAUACCAGUAGGUGAAAUCCGGCAGUCAGACUACGGGGGCUAAGCUUCGUCAGUCAAAAGGGAAACAGCCCACAUCGCAGUUUAAGGUCCCUAAAUAUAUGCUAAGUGUAAAAGGUGGUGUCGCGACCGCGACAACUAGGAGGUUGGCUUAGAAGCAGCCAUCCUUUAAAGAUAGCGUAAUAGCUCACUAGUCAAGUUGUCUCGCGCCGAAAAUUUAUCGGGGCUAAGCAUAUUACCGAAGACGCGAAUUCUGUGUCUCACUAACGUUCGACACAAAAAUUUAAAAUGCAAAAAUCAAAAUUCAAAAUUAUUGUGUCGCUGCGCGACAGAUUUAUUUAAAAAUAUUUUAAUUAAAUCUUGAGCAAAGCGAAUACCAAAAUUUUGCAUUUUGCAUUUUGAUUUUUGAAUUAUGUGACGAGCGGUAGCGAGACACAGAGUGGUAGAGGAGCAUUCUAUGUGCGUUGAAGCCGAACUGUGAGGUUUGGUGGAGUGCAUAGAAGAGAGAAUGUUGGCAUAAGUAGCAAAAAGGCGGGUUAAAACCCCGCCCACCGUAAGCCUAAGGUUUCCUGGGCAACGCAAAUCGUCCCAGGGUUAGUCGGUCCUAAGGUGAGGUCUGUGUAGUGCAGACGUAGUCGAUGGAUGAGCUGGUUAAUAUUCCAGCACUACUGUAGUUUUCCGAUGGGGGGACGCAGUUUUAAAGUUUGAGCGUGCUAUGGUAUGUACGUAGUUGGCUUCUUGGCAUGAUCCAGGUAAAUCCGGAUCGCCAAUGUCGAGAGGUUGACUGAAGAUGAAGUCUUUGAUGGAAUCAACUCAAGUGGCGAAACUGUCUAGAAAAACCUCUAGGGUUAAGACUAUAGUAACCGUACCGUAAACCGACACAGGUAGGCGAGGCGAGUAGCCUCAGGUGAACGAGAGAAUCUUCGUUAAGGAACUCGGCAAAACAGCGGUCGUAAGUUAGCGAUAAGACCCGCCCUACGCAAGUAGGGCCGCAGCUAAAGAUCCCAAGCAACUGUUUAUCAAAAACACAGCUCCCUGCGAACUCGUAAGAGGAUGUAUAGGGGGUGACGCCUGGCCAGUGUCCGAACGUUAAGAGGAGAGGUUAGUCGCAAGACAAAGCCUUGAAUUUAAGCGCGGAUGAACGCCGGCCGUAACUAUAACGGUCCUAAGGUAGCGAAAUUCCUUGUCGGGUAAGUUCCGACCUGCACGAAUGGCGUAAU
RNAcentral lists this ribosomal RNA (2383 nucleotides) under Parcubacteria group bacterium ADurb.Bin316. Its description in RNAcentral is "bacterial LSU rRNA". It matches the Rfam family "Bacterial large subunit ribosomal RNA", at positions 1 to 2005 of the family's 2925-position model. The record is from RNAcentral.